GAUGAACGCUGGCGGCGUGCUUAACACAUGCAAGUCGAACGGAAAGGCCCAAGCUUGCUUGGGUCCUCGAGUGGCGAACGGGUGAGUAACACGUGGGUGAUCUGCCCUGCACUUCGGGAUAAGCCUGGGAAACUGGGUCUAAUACCGGAUAGGACGAUGGUUUGGAUGCCAUUGUGGAAAGUUUUUUCGGUGUGGGAUGAGCUCGCGGCCUAUCAGCUUGUUGGUGGGGUAAUGGCCUACCAAGGCGUCGACGGGUAGCCGGCCUGUGAGGGUGUACGGCCACAUUGGGACUGAGAUACGGCCCAGACUCCUACGGGAGGCAGCAGUGGGGAAUAUUGCACAAUGGGCGCAAGCCUGAUGCAGCGACGCCGCGUGGGGGAUGACGGCCUUCGGGUGGUAAACUCCUUUCGCUAGGGACGAAGCGUUUUUGUGACGGUACCUGGAGAAGAAGCACCGGCUAACUACGUG
This 468-nucleotide ribosomal RNA is filed under the name uncultured bacterium. RNAcentral describes it as "partial 16S ribosomal RNA". It matches the Rfam family "Bacterial small subunit ribosomal RNA", at positions 28 to 507 of the family's 1533-position model. The record is from RNAcentral.